UCUGGUUAAACAUUGCCUAGUACAUGUUGUACAGCCGAGUAUGAGAGGAAAAACUGGGGCUCCGAGACACUAAUAUGUGAGUUACCGUCCUUUCGGUGGUCCGAUUUUGAGUAAGGGCUGCUUCUCUAGAUUUCGAUCGCAUUCAACAAUAAUGCAUUAUGAUACUUGCUCAACUGUAUAAAAUAUCCCUACCUCUCUUUUUCUUUUCCAUAAUUUUCUACCCUACAGAAAUAUUAUAUAUAUGUACAUGUGUGUGUGCAUGUGUGUGUGUGUGCGUGUGUGUGUGUGCGUGUGUGUGUGCGUGAUCAUUUUUAUUUCCUUCACAGAACUGUGAUUCCUGAAGGAUCAUAACUUUGAUCCCCGGUAAAUGGCCAUGGUUGCAACUUGAGCACUGCAGGAUGAACACCAUAAUAAGCUUUCUCAGGAGCCCUCAGGAGGUCCAAGGGAAACACUGUUUCAUAAACUGUAAAGCCCUAUGUGACUCUAAGAUGUGGCCACUGCAUAAAAAAUCCGUUAGUGUACUCCAUGAAACUCAGGAAACCAAAGAAAAAGAAACAAGAAAGCCAUCAGCAGCACUCUCACCUCUAGAGGAAGUAAGUGUGCACAAUACCAGUCAGCACCUUGAGUACCUACCUGGGAAGCCCAUGGACCUCUGCCAAGCUGUGCUGUGAUCUUUAUUCCAUCGGUAUUGACAAGAAAAAUAACAAUACCGUUCCUAUUUUUACACUGCAGGCUGAGCUUUCUGCAAUGUGUGUUAUUCUCAGAACAGUCACAACUGUAUCAGGGUAAUUGUUAUUAACUAUAUAUAAUUGGUAGAAAAACUCGGACCCCCAGAGGAACUUAGUAACUUGUCCAAGACUCCAAGCACAGUGGACAAGUUAAGACUAGAAUUUAGCAGACCCAACUGGUGUUGUUGGCAGUGAGUGAAAUCUUUGGGGUGCUAAGGAUACACGAAAUGGUCCCUCAAAAUAGAUUGUCUACUCUCUGUCCCAAGCAGAGAAUUAGUAUGCGGAAAACUGUUCCCUAGACACAGGUGGCUUCUGAGGUCCUGGUCACCACCUCUCAUGGACUCCAUCAGGGAGCUGCAGAGUGAGGCUGCAAGCCCGUGGACAACCUGCUGGCUUGAAUCUGAUCCCCUCGCCGCUGAAAGAGUGCUGUGACUUUGAACAGCCACCUAACCUUUCCGAAAGUCACGCUUCCUAACCAAGUGGGAAGACCAACACACCUCAGGCGCAGGCGUCCGGAGGACACCUAAUGACAUAAUGUGUACGAAGUCUCUUUGUGAGUUUAUAUAUUUAUUUCAUAAAUAUCAGAUAUGUUAUUUAUUUACAAGCUUCUGAAGACUACCGCGCAGAGGCAUGGGUACCAACAACCAGCAAGAAAAUGUAAAAGUCUAGGGGGAUAAAGGAUAAAAUUAUUGUCCAAAGAAGUAAAGAAAUAUCCCCACUCUAUGAGCCUCUCAGUAAAUCUAUUGCUUUUCCCUCCCUGCAUCUCACCCCAGCUGUGACAGCCACUCAAAUCAGCACAGCCAUCUGAACAAAUAAAUUUCGCUUUAUGAGUCCUUAGCCUGAGGAUCCCACAGUACCAUAAACACUGAUAUGAACGGCUGUCUUCCUAGUCACCAAAAAGGAAACCCCCAAAAUGAAAACUACUCCCUUCUCUUCAUCUGAAGAUAGCUCUCCUAAUGCUGGUCUUAUAAUUUACAAAAUUCCUCAAGUACUUGUUUUAAUAUCUUGUCUGUAGAUAGAGAACUGUAUUUCUCCUUCGAUUUCACUUUCUGGCCUCUGUGUGUCGCCUAAAACCUCUAGCACAAUAAUGGAUAGAAAUGAGAACAGUAGACACCCUGUUGUAUUUUUAACUUUAAAGGAGGAAUUUUUAAGUGUGUUCCUCAGCACAUUUGCUAGAUUUUCUUAGUCAAGUUAGGGAACAUGUCUUUCUUUUCUAGUUGUUUUUUAUUAGAUGCUUCCCUGCAUCUGUUGAGUUACUUAUCCCACUUUUCUCCUUGAAUUUGAUAAUGUGGUGAGUUACUUUUUAGAUUUCCUAAUGUUAAUAUUUCUCUGCAUUUCUGGAGGAAAAAAACAAACCUCUCCCUGAUCACAAUAGACAUAAAAAAUACUAACUGGCCAGGUUCAGUUUCCUUAUAUUUUGUGAAGUUUACAUUUAUGUUUAUAAAUAAGAUUUUGAAUUAGAUUAUUCUUUCUUGCCUUUUUCCUGCUUUGUUUUGCUAAGUUG
Molecule: long non-coding RNA, 2232 nt
Filed under: Fukomys damarensis (Damara mole-rat)
Lineage: Eukaryota; Metazoa; Chordata; Mammalia; Rodentia; Bathyergidae
Description: lncRNA (ENSFDAG00000022623.1)
Source: RNAcentral